This 253-nucleotide ribosomal RNA is filed under the name uncultured bacterium. Its description in RNAcentral is "partial 16S ribosomal RNA". It matches the Rfam family "Bacterial small subunit ribosomal RNA", at positions 524 to 776 of the family's 1533-position model. The record is from RNAcentral.
UACAGAGGUCCCAAGCGUUGUUCGGAUUUACUGGGCGUAAAGGGUGCGUAGGUGGGCAAGUAAGUCAGUGGUGAAAUCUCCGGGCUUAACCCGGAAACUGCCAUUGAUACUAUUUGUCUUGAAUACUGUGGAGGUCAGCGGAAUAUGUCAUGUAGCGGUGAAAUGCUUAGAUAUGACAUAGAACACCAAUUGCGAAGGCGGCUGGCUACACAAAUAUUGACACUGAGGCACGAAAGCGUGGGGAUCAAACAGG